RNAcentral lists this long non-coding RNA (642 nucleotides) under Anas platyrhynchos platyrhynchos (common mallard). Its description in RNAcentral is "lncRNA (ENSAPLG00000021463.1)". The record is from RNAcentral. Lineage: Eukaryota; Metazoa; Chordata; Aves; Anseriformes; Anatidae.
AUGGCUGCUGCUGACAAACCUCCUUCUCCUUCUCCUCUUCCUCUUCCUCCUCCUGCAGGGCCCAGCUUCCUCCCCAGCCCCAGCACUUCUUGCGCCUUCGCUCGCAGCUCUGCUGACUUUGGCACAGAACAGCCCCUCCAGCAGGAUGUGGAAAUAAAUAGCUGUGAGGGACACAAACUCAAAAGCUUCAGUCAUCAGAGGAAAUCCGUGUGGGCCAGCAGUAAGGGCAACAAAACCCACAGCCAUGCCAGUUCCCAGUCAUCCUCAGGAUUUCAUGAACUUCAUCCAGAACAAAGCAGGAGAGUCCCCUGGGCAGUGCAAACAGUGCUCUCGUUGGCUGUUAGUACAGAGGCAAUUUCAGUCCCAUCAUCUCUGAAAGACUGGGCUUCUCUGGUGUCCGUGGGAGCAGAGGUCCCACUCCAGAGGAAGAAGAAGUACUUGGGACUGUGUGGGGAUGAGAAUACAUCUGACAAGCAGGCUCUGGGCCAUGUAGCAAGACAGAGUAUGGGGCUUGUUCCCCUUUAUUUUCUUUCAUAACCACCCAGGAGAAAUAUCUGUUAUUUUUUUUCAGGGGAUUAAUAUCUGAAAUGGGUUAAUUCUACAGUACAUGCCCUGCCUAUGAAGCAUAAUAGGAAAUCCUCC